AAGCAAAUGGCACAGGCCCAAUCCAUGUGGGGUUAGUUUUGCCUUGCUUUAAAAAAAAAAAAAAAAAAAAAGAAAUAUAUAUAUAUAAAAAACAAAUUACAAAUUGCGUUUUACCCCAGCCAGAUUCAUGACUCUGCUGAUUAUUAUUCUCAGAUUUCUGCUAUUGCUAUGUUGCCCCCCCCCCUUUUUUUUUUUUGGAUUACUACACUUGAUGGAGAGCAGAGAAGAGAGUGCAGAGGAGGAGUAGUGCAGGUCCUGGGAGGUACGAGAUUUCCCUGCCAACAAAAUCAACUACAAACAACACGGUGCUGGUUUGCAGAAGAGCAAAGAGGAAAAACAGCGGAGUCAUUUCUAACUUCAUCCUGCUCAUCAUCAGGCACAUCAUCGCCCUAAGGCUGCCGCUGCCAAGGAGAAGAGGGAUCAUGAUGGCCAUAGAUAAAGGGUGGGUGUGGGUGAAGGGACAAUAUUAUCUCACCUAGAGACUCAAACACGACUUGAUCCCCCGGUCCCGACUCUCCCCACCCCUCAGGGUGAGAGUCCUACAUUCCCCAACACCCCCGUGUCUCCCUGGGCUGCUGAUCCCCCGGGGAUCCUCCUCUCUCUGCCGCUGCUGCUGCGCUCCGCAGGGAGCCCGAUUUAGCUGGGGCUAGGCAUGGCCGACACUUUUCACUUCCCCUCGGGGCCCCUCCCUACACAAGACGGCGGCGGGCGGCCUGUGCCCAGGGCAGCGAGGCACCGACUCAAUGGCCUGGGGUUCCCCCUCUCACUUCAUGGUAGCGACUUUACAGACAUGGAGAGGCCAGGGGGUUGCUUUGAAAAGAGAUUUUGGGGUGGGGAGGAAGGUGCAAAUUUUUACCAAUUUUUCCCCGUUUUUUUCGAAAAUUUGGUGGCAGACUUUUUGCAAAAAACCCCAAAAACAAAAAAACCCAAAUACUCUUUGUAGGUUAUUUUUGCCUCACUCCAGCCAUUUUUUCUAGGGGGUUGGGGCUGUUCAAAAGGUUUUAACCCAAAAUAAAGUCGUCGGACUAGGUUAAAAAACCCACCGAUUUUUUUCCUCCCCUCUCAAAAAAA
Molecule: non-coding RNA, 1071 nt
Organism: Chelonoidis abingdonii (Abingdon island giant tortoise)
Lineage: Eukaryota; Metazoa; Chordata; Testudines; Testudinidae
Source: RefSeq, a predicted model, not a curated record